This 502-nucleotide ribosomal RNA is filed under the name uncultured bacterium. RNAcentral's name for it is "bacterial SSU rRNA". It matches the Rfam family "Bacterial small subunit ribosomal RNA", at positions 29 to 524 of the family's 1533-position model. The record is from RNAcentral.
AUUGAACGCUGGCGGCGUGCUUAACACAUGCAAGUCGAUCGGUAACAGGUGUAGCAAUACAUGCUGACGAGAGGCGGACGGGUGAGUAAUGCUUGGGAAUCUGCCUAUUAGUGGGGGACAACCCGGGGAAACUCGGGCUAAUACCGCAUACGCUCUACGGAGGGAAGCCGGGGACCGCAAGGCCUGGCGCUAAUAGAUGAGCCCAAGUCGGAUUAGCUAGUUGGUAGGGUAACGGCCUACCAAGGCGACAAUCCGUAGCUGGUCUGAGAGGACGACCAGCCACACCGGAACUGAGACACGGUCCGGACUCCUACGGGAGGCAGCAGUGGGGAAUAUUGGACAAUGGGGGCAACCCUGAUCCAGCGACGCCGCGUGGGUGAAGAAGGCCUGCGGGUUGUAAAGCCCUUUCGGUGGGAAGAAAAGUCUCGACCUAAUACGUCGGGACCUUGACGUAACCCACUAAAGAAGCACCGGCUAACUCUGUGCCAGCAGCCGCGGUAAC